Long non-coding RNA from Lonchura striata (white-rumped munia), 1104 nucleotides. RefSeq lists it as uncharacterized. NCBI's taxonomy places the organism in Eukaryota, Metazoa, Chordata, Aves, Passeriformes, Estrildidae. The record is from RefSeq and is a predicted model, not a curated record.
GCCGCUCGCCGGGCCGGGCCGGCGGGCUGGGCGCCGAGCACCGGCCCCGCUGCCAGCCCAGCCCAGCCCAGCCCAGCCCAGCCCCGCGCUGCCCGGCCCGGCCCGGCCCGGCUCGGCUCGGCUCAGCCCGGCUCAGCCCGACCUGUCUCGCUCCUGGCCGCCCUGCCCCGGCCGUGCCCGCACCUUGGAGCGGACGGACGGACGGACGGAUGGCCGGCAUCCCCGACGGAGGGAUGUUUCUGUCUUUGGUUAUCUAGCUGUAUGAGUGUUGUGGAGCCAUCAUAAAGCUAGAUAACCGAAAGUAGAAAUGACUUCCAGACCUGCUCGCCCAGGGGAAGCGGCCGCACCAGGACCGGCAGUGCAGAGACGGCCCGACUCGCCGCCCUGGGGGCUCCAGACAUGACUGAGAGUUCGUGGAGUGGGAUGCCUUGGGAAGGGCUGGGACGUCUCCACCUGAGCAAGGAGAGAUCCCAGUGAGAGGACAAGGGACUUUUGAAGCCUGUGAGUUCCUUCUUCCAGCUGGCUACCACCUGCCUGGACUUGCCAUCUGACUUCUCCGAGUUUCUCCAGGAGGGUCCCAACCUGCUUCUCCAUUGGUCUCAAAGAGGAGUCAGCUUUGUCUCGUGAACACAGUGGAUUUCUGGACUUUGAAACACAGCGGUGCAGCCAUGGGGAGGGAGCCAGGGCAACACAGGGAGCCAAGGGAUCAUCCCACAUCACUCCUGUAUGUUGCCUUCAGUGCCCUCAAUACCCCAGAGCAGGACCAAAGUGCUUAGGCAGAGAGGCCUGAGCCAGUCACUGUCUCACCUGGUGAAAUACCAGGUGUGUGAAGUUUGGAGGGAGCUUUUGGCCCCCGGCUUUGCUCAUGGAGCAGAGCUCAGCCCUUGCUGCUCUGGAUCCCUGGGUCUGUGGAGCUGUGGGAGUGCAGCCUUCCCGAAGGCACUGUGCUUGGGGCCCAGAGGACCAUGAGAUUUUCCAGGCCAGGCAGCCCUGCUGGUGUUGUACUGCACCCUCUCUGUUCCUGUACUGCCUGUAUUCUCUCCCAUUCAAAUCCUCCCAACCCCAUGCACUGUUGAAAAUAAACUCUCUCUUUUGGAAAAGUGA